This 398-nucleotide long non-coding RNA is filed under the name Androctonus crassicauda. Lineage: Eukaryota; Metazoa; Arthropoda; Arachnida; Scorpiones; Buthidae. The record is from RNAcentral.
UGUUCCGUUGCGGGAGUGGCGUUGAUCAGAAGAUUUUCCAGUAGUUGUUGAAACUGUUCAUUCGUUAAAGUGAUAGUUUGUGCCAUUAUUCCAGAUUCUGCUGGUGCGCGACGGCUGCGUAACCAAUAUCCAGAUGAGUUGCAGUUUUCCGUGAUUCUCGGCAGAAAAAUCCAGCGAAUCCUAUCAAGAUGUGGCUAAACUAUAAUAACUUUGUUUCAAUCAGGCUGUGCUCUUGUCCACUGGGGUGCAUUGGCGUAAAUUUGAACAUCAAGACUUCCCACGGUUUCAAGACUCCGAUAGUGUUAGUAAACUCAGUUUUUGGUACAAUACAAAAUAUUUGUAGAGGCUUCGUUGAUUCAAAUGGCCCCACAUUAGGCACGAAAUUUGUUACACUAGAA